GGAAUAUUGCACAAUGGGCGCAAGCCUGAUGCAGCAACGCCGCGUGAACGAAGAAGGUCUUCGGAUUGUAAAGUUCUGUCCUUAGGGAAGAAGGAAGUGACGGUACCUAAGGAGGAAGCUCCGGCUAACUACGUGCCAGCAGCCGCGGUAAUACGUAGGGGGCAAGCGUUAUCCGGAAUGAUUGGGUGUAAAGAGUACGUAGGUGGUUUCGUAAGCGCGAGGUGAAAGGCAGUGGCUUAACCAUUGUAAGCCUUGCGAACUGCGAGACUUGAGUGCAGGAGAGGAAAGCGGAAUUCCUAGUGUAGCGGUGAAAUGCUUAGAUAUUAGGAGGAACACCAGUGGCGAAGGCGGCUUUCUGGACUGUAACUGACACUGAGGUACGAAAGCGUGGGGAGCAAACA
RNAcentral lists this ribosomal RNA (401 nucleotides) under uncultured bacterium. RNAcentral describes it as "bacterial SSU rRNA". It matches the Rfam family "Bacterial small subunit ribosomal RNA", at positions 358 to 774 of the family's 1533-position model. The record is from RNAcentral.